UCCAGACUCCUACGGGAGGCAGCAGUGGGGGAUAUUGCACAAUGGGGGGAACCCUGAUGCAGCGACGCCGCGUGGGUGAAGGAGCGUUUCGGCGCGUAAAGCCCUAUCGGCAGGGAAGAAGGAGGACGGUACCUGACUAAGAAGCCCCGGCUAACUACGUGCCAGCAGCCGCGGUAAUACGUAGGGGGCAAGCGUUAUCCGGAUUUACUGGGUGUAAAGGGAGCGUAGACGGCUGUGCAAGCCAGAUGUGAAAGCCCGGGGCUCAACCCCGGGACUGCAUUUGGAACUGCGUGGCUUGAGUGUCGGAGAGGCAGGCGGAAUUCCUAGUGUAGCGGUGAAAUGCGUAGAUAUUAGGAGGAACACCAGUGGCGAAGGCGGCCUGCUGGACGAUGACUGACGUUGAGGCUCGAAAGCGUGGGGAGCAAACAGGAUUAGAUACCCUAGUAAAC
This 449-nucleotide ribosomal RNA is filed under the name uncultured bacterium. RNAcentral's name for it is "bacterial SSU rRNA". It matches the Rfam family "Bacterial small subunit ribosomal RNA", at positions 330 to 795 of the family's 1533-position model. The record is from RNAcentral.